ACGCUGGCGGCAUGCUUAACACAUGCAAGUCAACGGGCUGGAUUUGCUAUAGCGAUAUAGGAGAGUCCAGUUUAGUGGCGAACGGGUGAGUAACGCGUGAGCAACCUGCCGUACACACUGGGAUAACAGAGGGAAACUUCUGCUAAUACCGGAUAUGACCACGAGGGGGCAUCCCCAUGGGGUGAAAGUGAAUUAGCGGUGUACGAUGGGCUCGCGUCCUAUUAGGUAGUUGGUGAGAUAACAGCCCACCAAGCCGAUGAUAGGUAGCCGACUUGAGAGAGUGAUCGGCCACAAUGGAACUGAGACACGGUCCAUACUCCUACGGGAGGCAGCAGUGGGGAAUAUUGGGCAAUGGGCGAAAGCCUUACCCAAGCAAUGCCGCGUGAAUGAUUGAAGGUCUUCGGAUUGUAAAGUUCUUUUAUUGGUGACGAACAAAAUGACGGUAGCCGAUGAAUAAGCCCCGGCUAACUACGUGCCAGCCGCAGC
This 486-nucleotide ribosomal RNA is filed under the name uncultured bacterium. RNAcentral describes it as "bacterial SSU rRNA". It matches the Rfam family "Bacterial small subunit ribosomal RNA", at positions 33 to 518 of the family's 1533-position model. The record is from RNAcentral.